RNAcentral lists this ribosomal RNA (429 nucleotides) under Acidobacteriota bacterium. RNAcentral's name for it is "Acidobacteria bacterium partial 16S ribosomal RNA". It matches the Rfam family "Bacterial small subunit ribosomal RNA", at positions 355 to 776 of the family's 1533-position model. The record is from RNAcentral. Lineage: Bacteria; Pseudomonadati; Acidobacteriota.
UGGGGAAUUUUGGACAAUGGGGGAAACCCUGAUCCAGCCAUCCCGCGUGUGCGAUGAAGGCCUUCGGGUUGUAAAGCACUUUUGGCAGGAAAGAAACGUCAUGGGUUAAUACCCCGUGAAACUGACGGUACCUGCAGAAUAAGCACCGGCUAACUACGUGCCAGCAGCCGCGGUAAUACGUAGGGUGCAAGCGUUAAUCGGAAUUACUGGGCGUAAAGCGUGCGCAGGCGGUUCGGAAAGAAAGAUGUGAAAUCCCAGAGCUCAACUUUGGAACUGCAUUUUUAACUGCCGGGCUAGAGUGUGUCAGAGGGAGGUGGAAUUCCGCGUGUAGCAGUGAAAUGCGUAGAUAUGCGGAGGAACACCGAUGGCGAAGGCAGCCUCCUGGGAUAACACUGACGCUCAUGAACGAAAGCGUGGGGAGCAAACAGA